Molecule: ribosomal RNA, 494 nt
Filed under: uncultured bacterium
Lineage: Bacteria
Description: partial 16S ribosomal RNA
Rfam family: Bacterial small subunit ribosomal RNA
Source: RNAcentral
GACGAACGCUGGCGGCGUGCUUGACACAUGCAAGUCGAACGGAAAGGCCUGCUUUCCCUUGUGGAUUGCGGGUACUCGAGUGGCGAACGGGUGAGUAACACGUGAGUGAUCUGCCCCCAACUUGGGUAUAAGCCUGGGAAACUGGGUCUAAUUCCCGAUAGGACUGCAGGGUGGUGCCUGUGGUGGAAAACGAUUUUCUAGUGGUUGGGGAUGAGCUCGCGGCCUAUCAGCUUGUUGGUGGGGUAAUGGCCUACCAAGGCGGCGACGGGUAGCCGGCCUGAGAGGGUGGACGGCCACAUUGGGACUGAGAUACGGCCCAGACUACGACGGGAGGCAGCAGUGGGGAAUAUUGCACAAUGGGCGGAAGCCUGAUGCAGCGACGCCGCGUGGGGGAUGACGGCCUUCGGGUUGUAAACUCCUUUCGACCGCGAGGAAGCCACCUGGUUGGAAGGGUGGUGACGGUAGUGGUAGAAGAAGCACCGGCUAACUACGUG